CGUUCCCGGGCCUUGUACACACCGCCCGUCACGCCAUGAAAGUCGGUAACACCCGAAGCCGGUGGCCUAACCCCUCGUGGGAGGGAGCCGUCGAAGGUGGGAUCGGCGAUUGGGACG
Molecule: ribosomal RNA, 117 nt
Filed under: uncultured bacterium
Lineage: Bacteria
Description: partial 16S ribosomal RNA
Rfam family: Bacterial small subunit ribosomal RNA
Source: RNAcentral